Molecule: long non-coding RNA, 580 nt
Organism: Diprion similis
Lineage: Eukaryota; Metazoa; Arthropoda; Insecta; Hymenoptera; Diprionidae
Exons: 3
Source: RefSeq, a predicted model, not a curated record
UUCAGACGUUGUGCUCUUCGGAACCCGGCAGCCAAGAGGACCGGUCGCCCGCGCACCUUGCCAGCGCUUUAGUCGCAGCGACUCCUCUUCCGCGUCGGCCUGAUACGCGCCGGAAACGCGCCCCGGCUCGGCGGCAACCCGGCACGCAGGGUGCCCCGAAGGCACCGAGAUCUCGAAAAGCCUGAACGUCCGCGCCGACGGCGAAGAUGACGAUGACCCGUUGCUCAGAGGGCCGGGCGGAGGGAUUUACGCCCCGGAAACCCGAACCGUCGUCAUGAUCACCGCCGAGGGGUGUGGAACAAGUGCUUAAUUCUUCGUCCUUCGCUUGCGACGCGACGUUGACAUGCUCGAUUAAAAGCUUACUUAUUGUUAGCGCGCUUCUCGCUGCAGGAAAUUACGACUACGGAACGCCGGCGGCGAUCCUCAUUCGAUUAUCAAAAGUUUUUACGAUAGUCAAGUUUUCAUUAUACACUUUGUACGCAGUGUACGCGUGUGUGUUGGAACGUGGCGUUAAAUUGCGUGACGCAUACUUGACGUAUUAAAUACACGCAUCGUCGGCGGAAUAUCGCGUGGAUUUACC